This 234-nucleotide unclassified non-coding RNA is filed under the name Hevea brasiliensis (rubber tree). The record is from RNAcentral. Lineage: Eukaryota; Viridiplantae; Streptophyta; Magnoliopsida; Malpighiales; Euphorbiaceae.
GCCCAUCUUAUCAAACGGGAGUCUGAAAAAAGCACCUUUUUCAGGGCGAUAAAAGCUUUUGCAGUAAAAUUCCGUCGGCAAUCCCUUCCUCUUUCUGUCUUCUGCUUUUGCUCUUUCAAGUUUAUCAGCAUUCGUGUUUCUAUGCUGGUGUCCCCAAGGCAUCAUUCUGAUAUUGACAGCUAUACUUUCUUUGACAUCUCCUAGUUGCAGAUUCAUGCAUUCAUUGAUCAAAAA